This is an RNA transcript of Rosa chinensis, 4526 nucleotides long. RefSeq lists it as uncharacterized. The record is from RefSeq and is a predicted model, not a curated record. Lineage: Eukaryota; Viridiplantae; Streptophyta; Magnoliopsida; Rosales; Rosaceae. The transcript has 2 exons.
UUUUUUUCCGCAAGAUUCGAAUGUUAUGCCGACGCAGAGGAGGAGGGAGUGCCUGAUCUUCUGUUCAUACAUUGGCUUCUUGAGCUGAAAUGACGAUUUUGCCCUCAUACCUAAUUUCUUGAAAAUCAAUGUGAAUCUUCUUCAUAUGUGGUUGAUUUAGGGAUUGGGCUCUGCGAUUGCAGUAAGUAUCAAAACCAGGGACACAUGUAGGUAUGAUGAGUCUUUUUUGUGAAAGAUCUGUUGGGUUGUUUGGGAUUCAUUGGUUCACUGUUGAAUCCCAAGGUUUGAGAUUUUUUGUUAUCUAGCUCUUCUUCUGUUAAAGUUUGAAUUUUUAUUUGGUGAGAAGUUUGUUGGGUACUUGAAUCACUCCGGUUGAUUGGUUCAAUUGUGUCUGUAUACAUGGUCAAUGAUUAUGUGAAUCGAUGUUUUCUGCAUCUGGGCUUUCAUUUUAUUUGUUGUCUCUUUUCCUGGGUUUUCUUGCACAUGUGUACUCAUAUUCGAUUUGGGGGUUUGUUUUGCUGAUGAGGUCUCGAUUCAUGUUGAAUUGAAUACAGAGAGAAAUUUAGGGCAAGAUGAUUGAGGUAUUCGCUAGUCUCACGAACAAGUCUACAAUAGCUGGUGGUCUUCAUGGACGUCAGUCUACUUCUCACUUUUUAUUUAUUCAAUUCCAUUUGAUUGUGCUGGUUAGAUUGUUUUUAUGCAUAAAGUUUUAGUCUUUUUUGUUGAUGGAAAAUCUUUCUUGCACUAUUACUUAAGCCUAGGGGAUGUAAAUAUGGAAAAGCUUGCAGUUACAACCAUGGAAAAGGGAAACCAUUAGCUCCAGUUGUGGAACUUAACUUUACAUGUAUAUAUAUUUCGAGCAUCUUUGAUUUUUCUUUACCUGAUGGCUAUGGAAUACAGAUAUUGGUAAACCAAAAGGAGUAGUUGAAUUUUUCCGAAACCUAAUUCAAACAACUAAACAAACUUCUGGAACAGAACUAGUUAACCAUAGUAUGUAAGUGUGUGUGCAUUCUAAUCUUAUUGUUUUCUUCAUCUAUUUAGGACUUGGUUAAGAACAAUGCAGAGUAAAAUAGGCAAGUGCUCUCUACCCUUUAUCGGGCCAGAUUUACAUAAAACUUCGUUAUGUGAAAGUAGGCAAGUGCUCUCCACCCUUUAUUUGGCCAGAUUUACAUAAAACUUUGUUGUUUUGUGAUCAAACCACUCCACUAAUUUGAUUGAAAUACUAUUCUACUCAGUAUUAUGAUAGCAAAAUGGUGUUAGCUUUAAAGAAAAACACCUCUGUUUUAGCCAAAGAGAAAGAGAGAUGUGAAUAUAUAUGUCAGACACAGAUAAAGGCUAUGGAUAAGAUCAAAUGGACUGUUAGCGAUAGACAUAGCUAGACAUACAUCAAGUAGGUACCAAAUAAAAAUCAAUGUGUCAUAUAUGUCUUCUGGGUUUGUUCUAUUAUUUUUCUCUCCAUCAUCCAAGUAAGAGGGUAAAUAAUUAAAAUAUAAUUAGAAAAAUGAAAUAUCUAUAUGCCAUCUGGGUUCAGAAACAAAAAGACACGUAUAGUACUGGACUUGCAUUUCAGCUAGAAUUGGAGAGAAAAACAAAGAAGAAUCCACUACCAGUGUAAGUCAAUCGUAGCCUAGAGAUAGAGUAUGUAUAUGUAUAUAACCAUAUAUGCACAUAUGAAGUACAAUAUUGGUUGCUCUCAAUGCUUCUUAAAUUAGUCAAGUAAUUUACUAUGUUAGAAUUUGUCAAAUCUUUUGGCUUAACCAGACUUAGUGUAGCUCACUUACCUAAAUUGGAUUUCUGUUUUUCCGGAAUAUGACCAUGUGUGACUUGGUUUAAUUGAUCCAAUGGCUUACUUCAACAUUCCCUUAUUCUCCUUUUUGGGUCACUCUGGAAAGUACAUAUGUUAUUCCUCACUCAAAACCUCUCUUCAAGUUUGCAUGGAUGAUCUGCUUUGAUUAAAUCAGCAAACAAGAUUGAUAUCUAUAUUAAUUUGCAAACAUGGAAUCAUCACAUUUAUUAAAUAAGAUCACUGAUGCAUCUUUCGCAAGAUUUUUUAUUUUGAGAUUGAAAAAAAAAAAAAAAAAACCUUUGUACCUUCUGCCAAGAUUUUAAGUAUGAUCAUCCCUGCAUCUCUCUCCCAAGCUUUUUUGGCAUUGCAGUUAUCAGUUUGUCAUGGCAAAGAAGGACAAAGCGGUAAAUGAUAUGCCAAAGGAAAGAAUUCAUAAUACGGCUUAGAUGUUUAUUUUUUGUGAUACCUUGCAUCAAAUUCUUAAUGUACACAGAGUCAAAUCUUUGACCACAUUCAUUCCUAAAUGUCAAUCUGGCAUUUCAAAUCAGUUAUUUGCAUAUACAUUUGAUACUUCCCUCCAUUUCCAUGAUGACAUGUAUAUUGCGCGCAUUUUCAUAUAUCUGAGAAAUGAAUCAAUAGUUUCAUAUUUGUGAGUUGUUACAAUUUAAUAGCUAUGUGUUUCUUUAUUUGUUGGUAUAAAUCCGAAUCUAAUCCAACUUCUGUACCAAUUUAGACGUUGAAGAUUAUCUGCUGAUUUUUGCAACAGCAAUACAAUUAACAUAAGUCAUUUUGUUCUCUACAUGCAUAAUUAACAUAAAAUCUCUUAUUAUUGUUUGAUCUGAUUAUAAAUCAUAUAUAUGCUAUCUGCAACUUCAGAAUUCACACAUUGCAUCAACUAUGUCAUCAUUUAUUCACUAUUACUCUAUAUUACUCUACUUAUGAUAUUGUACUUGGCUUAUUUCUGAUUUUCAAUGACAGCAAUGAGAUGGAAAAACGAGGUAUUGCUUACCACAAAAGAUGCAUCAUAUGAUUGAACAAACUGAGGAUACAUCUGAGAAUUAAUGUAAAAAUAGUUGGUUUGAACUGAAAACAUAGUUGUGCAGGAAUGACAAAAAUAAAAUUCAUUGGAGGAGUUGGGAACGCGUACGGCUCUGUCUCACAAAGCAUGAAGGAGGCAUGAGUUUCAAAAAUUUAUAUGCUUAUAACCUUGCUAUGUUGGCAAAGCAAGGUUGGAGAUUGGUCACAAAUCCUGAUUCACUCAUUGCAAGAUUGUAUAAAGCAAGAUACUUUCCAAAUUGUGACUUUUGGCAAGCGGAGUUGGGUGAUGCACCCUCCUUCUCUUGGAGGAGUAUCCUUGCAGGAAGACCUGUGUUAAGGGCUAGAACUAAGUGGAGAAUUGGCGAUGGUACGAAGGUGAAUAUAUGGCUGGAUCAUUGGGUUCCAGAAUGUUCGCAGUUACUUAUACAGAGACCUGCUCUCUCUCCAGUUGAAUAUGUGUCCGACCUUAUUAACUUGCAGACUAGACAGUGGAUACCUGGACUGGUCCAUGCGGUCUUCCAUCCUACUGUGGCACCUAAAGUUCUCAAUAUUCCUCUUAGUCAACAAACAAAGCCUGACAAGUUGUACUGGAGCUUGGAAAGAAGAUGUUGGUUCACAGUCAAAACUGCAUACUGGGUGGCUAGAGCACAGGUCCUUAACCAUGUCCUUGUGUCUUCAUCUAAUGGAGAUCCUUUUAAGGAGUUGUACGUGGAGGAAAGUUUGGAAGGCCAAUGUUCCUGGUAAGGUGCAGAUAUGUGUAUGGAGAGCUUGUUGCAAUUUGUUACCUACAAGAGAAAGGCUAAUGGGUAAGGGCAAUGUGGGAGACCUCACUUGUUUGUUAUGCAACCAUCAAUUGGAAAACACUGCUUAUAUCUUUUGUAAGUGCACUACAGCCUCUACUCUUUUAUCUCAACCUCUAUUCCAUCUCCAAAGUUCUUUGCUUCCUUAAAUCAAUUUCAAAUAAUGGAUGCUGGAACAAGCUUUGAACCUUAGAACGGAGGUUUUUGAAAAGCUCUUGAUGCUUAUAUGGGGACUGUGGAAAAAUCGGAACACCAAACUGUGGGAGGAUACUGCUAGAAGUCCUCUAGACUUGUUAUUUGGUUGCAUGACUUGGCUGGAGGAAUUCCAAAAGUCACGAGCUAGUGAGAAAAUGCCGAGGCAACCUAAUCUUUAUGCAUGGCAGUCUCCAGCAGCAGAUACGUUAAAGCUUAACAUUGAUGGGGCAUAUGUACCUCACCUCACUAAGGGUGGAAUAGGAGGCAUUCUUCGUAACUCUAGGGGAAAUGUUGUUGCGGCGUUUCAGCGACUAGUCCAUUUUGUGAGCUCAGCUUUCCAUGUCGAGCUCCUUGCUACACAGGCCGGACUAGAGUUGAUUAGAAGACAUAAUUACAGGUCUGUGGUUAUUGAAACUGAUUGUCAAAUAGCAGUCCAAGACAUAUGCAGUGCUUCUCCAGUUCUCACUCAAUAUGGGACUCUAAUUGUUGACAUUCAGACUACCUUCAAGAACCUGCAGCUGGUGCGUUUAUGUUUCGGUCCCCGCACUUGUAAUCGAGUAGCCCAUAGACUAGCUGGUAUUGCUUUUGAAUCUAAUUCGUGUUAAAAUUGGGUGAACUCCACUCCGGAGUGUAUCCAAGACAUUGUACAAAAGGAGUCCGCUCCUACUUAAUUUAUAAAGCUGAGUCUUGUUUGCCUUAAAAAAAAA